RNAcentral lists this transfer RNA (83 nucleotides) under Caulifigura coniformis. RNAcentral's name for it is "Planctomycetes bacterium Pan44 tRNA-Tyr". It matches the Rfam family "tRNA". From Rfam's summary of the family: Transfer RNA (tRNA) molecules are approximately 80 nucleotides in length. Their secondary structure includes four short double-helical elements and three loops (D, anti-codon, and T loops). Further hydrogen bonds mediate the characteristic L-shaped molecular structure. tRNAs have two regions of fundamental functional importance: the anti-codon, which is responsible for specific mRNA codon recognition, and the 3' end, to which the tRNAs corresponding amino acid is attached (by aminoacyl-tRNA synthetases). tRNAs cope with the degeneracy of the genetic code in two manners: having more than one tRNA (with a specific anti-codon) for a particular amino acid; and 'wobble' base-pairing, i.e. permitting non-standard base-pairing at the 3rd anti-codon position. Lineage: Bacteria; Pseudomonadati; Planctomycetota; Planctomycetia; Planctomycetales; Planctomycetaceae. The record is from RNAcentral.
GGGGGUGUGCCCGAGCGGCCAAUGGGGCCAGACUGUAAAUCUGGUAGCUAUGCUUUCGCUGGUUCGAAUCCAGCCGCCCCCAC